RNAcentral lists this ribosomal RNA (545 nucleotides) under Paratagalis sp. RNAcentral's name for it is "partial large subunit ribosomal RNA". It matches the Rfam family "Eukaryotic large subunit ribosomal RNA", at positions 703 to 1137 of the family's 3401-position model. Lineage: Eukaryota; Metazoa; Arthropoda; Insecta; Hemiptera; Reduviidae. The record is from RNAcentral.
UAAACCCAAAGGCGAAAUGAAAGUAAAGAGUGGAACAUUGUUUUUAAAGUAUUUAUACUUUAUUAACGAUUUCUCUCGAGGGAAGAUAGGAAGCUCAACUUUAAUAAAAUGUAUUUUUUAUAUAUUUAUAUUAUUGCAUGAGUUUUCUCGCAUUCCCGGGGCGCUUGAUUCUCGCUUUGCGAGUCUAUGCGCACCUAGAGCGUACACGCUGAUACCCGAAAGAUGGUGAACUAUGCCUGGCCAGGACGAAGCCAGGGGAAACCCUGGUGGAGGUCCGCAGCGAUUCUGACGUGCAAAUCGAUCGUCGGAGCUGGGUAUAGGGGCGAAAGACCAAUCGAACCAUCUAGUAGCUGGUUCCCUCUGAAGUUUCCCUCAGGAUAGCUUGCGCUCAAUUGAUACGAGUCUCAUCCGGUAGAGCGAAUGAUUAGAGGCAUUGGGGUCGAAACGACCUCAACCUAUUCUCAAACUCCAAAUAGAUGAGACCCCCGGCUUUCUUGAAAAAUGAAGCCGUGGGACUAGGAUCAGAGUGCCAAGUGGGCCAAUUU